GCGUUCGGGUAAUCGCUGUAUCCGUUUGACGGAUAUAGAGGAAAGUCCAUGCUCGCACGAUCUGAGAUGAUCGUAGUGUUCGUGCCUAGCGAAACCAUAAGCUAGGGUAGUUCGGCUCAGGCUGAACUAACGGCAAGGAAACAGCCUAAGUCCCUUUAGGGAUAUGGCUCAGUACCUUUGAAAGUGCCACAGUGACGAAGUUCUGCUGGAAACAGCAGAAGUGGAACGAGGUAAACCCCGCGAGCGAGAAACUCAAAUUUUGGUAGAGGAACUCUCCUGAAGGAAUUCAACGGAUGGAGGGACAAGCUGAUGCUUGUAGAUAGAUGAUUACCGCCGGAGUACAAGGAUUUUAUCCGAUUGCAGUACAAUGGUACAGAACAUGGCUUAUAGAA
RNAcentral lists this RNase P RNA (392 nucleotides) under Scopulibacillus daqui. RNAcentral describes it as "RNase P RNA component class B". It matches the Rfam family "Bacterial RNase P class B". Rfam says of the family: Ribonuclease P (RNase P) is a ubiquitous endoribonuclease, found in archaea, bacteria and eukarya as well as chloroplasts and mitochondria. Lineage: Bacteria; Bacillati; Bacillota; Bacilli; Caryophanales; Sporolactobacillaceae. The record is from RNAcentral.